This is a long non-coding RNA of Patella vulgata (common limpet), 1474 nucleotides long. RefSeq lists it as uncharacterized. Lineage: Eukaryota; Metazoa; Mollusca; Gastropoda; Patellidae. The record is from RefSeq and is a predicted model, not a curated record. The transcript is spliced from 3 exons.
GGAUCUUUGAUGGAAUGAAUUAACUCGGUCAGAGGCGAGGUGCGGUAUGUGUCGUCUAUAUUCUUAUAAAAACGACAAAUAACACCUGACUCAUUCAACGUUUAACGUGUUCAUCACUUCACAGCCAAAAAGAUAAGUCAAGAAUGGCUAAAGAUCAAGUUCUGUGUCUUCUCCUGUUGAUGGCUGUUAUUUAUAAAACAUCAAAUGCCUGGUUUAUAAACUCACAUUGGCAAACAAAAAAUUGUUUUUGUCAGGUUCUUUUAAAUAAUGGGCCCAAAACAGUUGUCCACGAUAUGGGGUCCAUUAUCCGAUGUAAAGAAUUUUUCGGAUGUGGUUGUGGCAACUAUAAGAUGAGAUAUUGCGCUGUUAACUGUGAAGAUGAAGUUAAACGAUGGGCCCAGACCAGUUGUCCAUCCCAUCUGAUUGGUCAACAAAUCCGCGCCAAAUAUAAAGCCAGCUCUUGUCAUAAUGGACUAACCGGUGCUUUUAUUACCUGUUCCGGUAAUACUGGCAGUGCUAGUACUGGAGGAGGAGGCGGUGGUGUGAUAGCCAGCAGUGGCGGAGGAGGAGGCGGUGAAAGUGUUAGAGUCAGCGAUGAGCGAGGAGGUGGAAGUGUUAAAGUCCCGGUUGAUCACGAUGCCGUUGGUCCUAGAGAACUUGCUGAUGUUUACCAAUGAUAGGAUCAAGGCGGAUCCUGACCCCUUUAUAGAACAACGUUCGUUCGUGGGGCUUAACGUGCGUUUCUACUGAGGGUGCUAUCGCGACAAGAUAGACCAAGACUACAUCUAUAUUUCUAUAUGUCCAAUGUUUCCACCGGUUGAUUUCAGUCAAAUGAUUUUAAUGUGUUUGAAACAACUAUCAGCGAUAUGGCGUAAAAGAUGUUUUUAAUGUGGGAACUAUACACCUGUUCAGUGUGUCUCUAAACGAUUAAUUCAACAAAUCACAACACACGGGAUAAAACAGAAUAAGGGGAGAUAAUCCGUGCGGAAAAGUGCUAUCUAAUCAAAACACAGAUCCUAUUUCAUUUUGUGUUUUAUAGUUUAAAAAUUUCGUUUUACUUGUCUUUACUACACUAGGAUCUGGAAGAGUUGUUGUAUUACCGGCGUUCUGGUUUAAGUAAGGGGUUAGCCAAUGAACUGUCUCUUACGGUGAGUUCUUGGCGUGCGAUGCACGGAACUGUGGGUAAACCACUAGAAACGUCAACGAUGAUUGAUUAAUCAAUAUCUGACGUCAAAGGGUCAAAAACCGCUCGUACGACCCCUGACACGAUCUUCCAGUACCACCGGCCAGAUCAUCAUGUAGUGUAGGCCAUCAAAAGUAUAAAAUCAAAUGAAACGAAAUAUAGACCUUUUUUUAAAUCAGAUUGGGAAAAGUGUUUUUCCAUUAACAUUAAAAGAGAUUAUCAGAUUAAUUAAUUAUUCUGAAAAACGAAAUCCGAGUGUUUUACCAUGUACACAAUAAAAAGAAAAAGCUU